RNAcentral lists this ribosomal RNA (257 nucleotides) under uncultured Lamproderma sp. RNAcentral's name for it is "partial 18S ribosomal RNA". It matches the Rfam family "Eukaryotic small subunit ribosomal RNA", at positions 28 to 248 of the family's 1831-position model. Lineage: Eukaryota; Evosea; Eumycetozoa; Stemonitida. The record is from RNAcentral.
AUGCUUCUCCUAAAGACUAAGCCAUGCAUGUCUUCAAAUAAGAGGAAGCAAUUCUCUCUGAAUCUGCGAACGGCUCCGCAAACCAGUUGUAAACCAAAGCAAGCUUGCUCGGGUUGGGCUUCGGCCUGGCCUGGGUGAUACGGAUAACCCUGGUAAUUCUGAGGCUAAUACGUGUAUGGAACACCCGGUGGACCGGCCUCACGGGCUGGGAUAUCGGGAGACGAGUGAUGGAAUGUUUGGAUUACCAGGAACGGGCG